ACUCCUACGGGAGGCAGCAGUGGGGAAUAUUGCACAAUGGGCGCAAGCCUGAUGCAGCCAUGCCGCGUGUAUGAAGAAGGCCUUCGGGUUGUAAAGUACUUUCAGCAGUGAGGAAGGUGGGUAUGUUAAUAGCAUAUUCAUUUGACGUUAGCUGCAGAAGAAGCACCGGCUAACUCCGUGCCAGCAGCCGCGGUAAUACGGAGGGUGCGAGCGUUAAUCGGAAUUACUGGGCGUAAAGCGCAUGCAGGUGGUUUGUUAAGUCAGAUGUGAAAGCCCGGGGCUCAACCUCGGAAUUGCAUUUGAAACUGGCAAACUAGAGUACUGUAGAGGGGGGUAGAAUUUCAGGUGUAGCGGUGAAAUGCGUAGAGAUCUGAAGGAAUACCGGUGGCGAAGGCGGCCCCCUGGACAGAUACUGACACUCAGAUGACGAAAGCGUGGGAGCAAACAGGAUUAGAUACCCUGGUAGCUCUGC
Molecule: ribosomal RNA, 472 nt
Filed under: uncultured bacterium
Lineage: Bacteria
Description: bacterial SSU rRNA
Rfam family: Bacterial small subunit ribosomal RNA
Source: RNAcentral